CACGUAGGCGGACUGGAAAGUCAGAGGUGAAAUCCCAGGGCUCAACCUUGGAACUGCCUUUGAAACUAUCAGUCUGGAGUUCGAGAGAGGUGAGUGGAAUUCCGAGUGUAGAGGUGAAAUUCGUAGAUAUUCGGAGGAACACCAGUGGCGAAGGCGGCUCACUGGCUCGAUACUGACGCUGAGGUGCGAAAGCGUGGGGAGCAAACA
This 207-nucleotide ribosomal RNA is filed under the name uncultured bacterium. Its description in RNAcentral is "partial 16S ribosomal RNA". It matches the Rfam family "Bacterial small subunit ribosomal RNA", at positions 568 to 774 of the family's 1533-position model. The record is from RNAcentral.